AAUGGAUUACCAGCUUUGGCGGAAAUUGCAACAGAUGGCGCUAGUGAGCAGGAGUUUUUCAAUUUGAAAAUUAUGACGUCACAAAUAUACAUGGAGUUAUGUUUACUUACCCAUCUGUCAAAAUGCAAACAAAAAAAAGAAGCAAAAUUGGGAACGGAGGAACGGAAAAGUGAAAAACAGAUUUGGUGAGAAAAACGGUGCGUUCCGGAACACCGGUCUUCGUCGGCCGCGGAGAAACUACUACUGGAGUUACAAUUUUCAAUAGAAAAACGAAGGAUUUUAAGAUUACACCUGUUCGAGCUGGGAGUGUUCCUUGGACCGUUGAUGGAGGUCAAACGUUCGUUGGAAACCACCCGAGCCUGACCUGACGGGCUGAUUGAUAGUUGGAGCGCAUUGCAGUUGCGGUUCCCUAUGGACGGAGCAAACUUCCUACGGCGAAAAAACACACAGCAGCGAGGUAGGUAGGAAUAGGGAAAGGAAAGUGGGGCAAAAAUAGGCUACCGAAGGAAUAGAUCCCGACAACUCUCUGAUCACAAAUCAAAUUAUUCUGUAUUUUUACACGGCUUUUAUAGACACUAAUCAGUUUAUGACAUGAAGAUUGGAAAAUCUACCAAUUUGUCACCUGUUUCUCCAAGGAUUCGCACAGGAGUUCUUUGUGGCAUUCCUUUGGGGGUUUCUUCAGGAGUUGGUUCGGAGAUUCCUGCAGGGUUUAUUCAGGAAUUCCGCUAGUUCAGUCAGGAAUCCUUCCAGGAGUUCUUUGGGGAAAGAAAGAGUGGCGUCAUGUUCCAAUUUUGACUGCUCUCAUGCUCGUUUGGAACGAGAGUUUGUAUGGAUUUGACAUUCUACUUUCGAGGAUUUCUUCUAUGAUUCCUUCUGAGAUACCAUCUGGAGUUGUUUCAGGAAUUCGUUCUGCACUUCCUACAGGAAUUUCUUCAGGAGUUCUUUCAGCGAUUCCAUCAGGAGUUCUAUCUGGGGUACCUUCGGAGUUCCAUCAGAGAAUCCUCCUGGAAUCUCUUCAUUUAAUUAUGCAGACAUUUCUGAAGUUAUUCGUCCAAGAGUUUCUUCAGGAAUCCUUCCAUGUGUUCCUCCAGGGAUUCCUCCAAUAAUUUAUUUAGCGAUUCUUCCAGGAGUUCCUUCAGAGAUUCCCCCAGGAUUUCAUUAAUGCAUUCCUCCAGAGUUUCAUUCAUAGAUUCUUUUAGAAGCUCCUUCAGUAAAUCCAGGAGUACCUUCAGAGAUCAUUUAAAAGAUUACUUCUGAAGUACCUACAAGGAAUCGCCUAGGAGUUCUUACUGGAUUUUUUCGGGGAUUCCAUCAGGGUCCCUAUAAAUAUUUCCUUCUGAGAUUUCUUCUAGGAGUUCUUUCAAAGAUUCCUACAGGAUCUUCCCAGUGGCAAUUCCCUAACCUCAAAACUACCUGUUUAACGAAUGCAAAUUCUUGAUUUCUCACAAUAAAUUGGCUUGUUAUUUGUAGAAAACGGCGAUAAUAGGCGUUUCCGCCCAUUUCAAUUUGAUUCUGAUCCUCAAUUCUCCACAAAUGCAACUUUUAGGGGUCGUUGAACAGGUAAAAAGUGAGGUUACGAGACGCCACUGGUUCUUGCAGGAGUCUUCAGGGAUUCAUCCUGCAGUUUAUUCAGGGAUUUCUCCAGGAUUUUUUUUGGGAUUCCUUUAGUAGUUCAUUCAAUAUUUCAUCUAGGAGUUCGUUCAGGGGUUCUUACUGGGACUCCUCCAGUAGUUUUUUCAGGGAGUCUUUCAGAGCAUUCUCCUGCGGUUCCUUCAUGGCUUUUUCAAUAUUUUUUUUUGGGUUCCUCCAGGAUUCCUUCUAGAGUUAUUCUACCAGGAGUAGUUUUAGGGAUUUUUCCAGAAGUUUCUUUAGAAUUUUUUUCAGGCGUUUUUAAGAUUACUCCAAGAGUUCCUUCAAGACUUCACCCAGAGUUUCUUCAGCGAAUCCUGGAGUUUUUUUUAUGGAUUCCUUAAUGAUUUGCCUCAAGAUUUCACCUAGGAGAUCGUCCUAAAUUAUGUCAGGCAAAAAAUUGUCAUUUUCAACCACUUUCCCACCUAUGUCACACUUUUUGUAUGAGACCUCUAAAAAUUUCUUCUAAGGGUUCUUCCAGAAGUUCCUAUAGAGAUUACUCUAGGAAAUCCUUCAACUUUUCAUCCAAAAAUUUUCUCAGGGAUUUCCAAAGUUCCUUCUGGGAUUUCUCAAGGAGCUCCAUUAGGGAUCCGUCCAGAGAAUCUUACAGGAGUUUCUUCAGUUGUUUACCCAGGAGGUCCAUCAAAUUUCAAUCUUGGAGUUCCUUCAGGGAUUCCCCCAGUAGCUUUUCCGAGGAUUUCUCCAGGAGAUUCUUCAGUGAUUUCUUCUGGAGUGGGUUCAGAAACUGUUUCAGGGAUUCGUUUAUGGUUUUUUCAGGGAUUCCUUCAGGAGUUCUUUCAGCGAAUUCUUCUGGAUUUUAUACAGGGCUUCGUCCAGAAGUUCUUUCAAUGGUUCCUUCUGGAAUCCCUCCAGGAGUUCCUUCAGAGAUUUCUCCUUAGUUCCUUCAUGAAUUAUUGCAGACAUUUUUCAAGGGACACGUCCGGGAGUUUCUUAUGGCCGGGAUUCUUGCUGGAAUUCCUAAAAGAAUUUCUCCAGGUUUUCUUUGUUUCAGGGAUAUCGUCAGAAGUUGUAUCAGGGGUCUUCCUGGAGUUCCUUCAGGGAUUCGUCCAGAAGUUCCUUCAGAGAUUAACCUAGGAGUUCAUUCAGAAAUUCCUUCAGCAGUUUCUUCAAGGUUUAAUCCAGAGAUUUUCCAAGGGGUUUCAUUUGGAUCCUAAAGGAGUCCUUUCAGGGAAUCCUGGAGUUUAUCCAUGGAAUAUUACAAUACCUAUUUCCUUUAAGGAUUCAUCUAGAAGUUCCUUCAAUGAAUCCUCCUGGAGUUCUUACAGAGUUUCUUCAAGGUUUAAUCCAAGAGAUUUUUCGUUAAUUUCCAAAGACUUUCAUUAUGGAUCCUUCCUGGAGUGGAGGGAUUCCUCCAGUAGAUCCUUCAGGGGCUCACCGUGGGUUUGCUUCAGGAAUUUUUGGAUAGUUUAAUCCUUCAGUUCCUUCCGCGAUUUCUCCAGUAGUCCCAUCAGCGAUCUUUGCAGGAGUUCCUGAAGGGAUUCAUCUAGGAGUUCUUCAAGGAAUUUCUCCAGCAGUUCUUUGAGGGAUUUCUUCUGGUGUUUCUUCAGAGAUUUCUUCAACAGUUCUUUUAGCGAUUCCUUCUGGAUUUCCUACAGGGCUCCAUCCAAGAAUCCUUUCAAAGAUUUCUUCAGGAGUUCCAUAUGGGGGUUUUCCUGGGUUCCUCCAUGGAUUUUUGCAGAAAAUUCUUAAGGGCUUCGUCCAGGAGUUCAUUCUGGUAUUCUUCCAGGAAUACUUUCAGGAGUUUCUGCAGUUUCUUCAUGGAUUCAUUCAGGAGUUCUUUCAGCGAUUCCUACUGGAUUUCAUACAUGGCUUUGUCCGGGAAUUCUCUUGAAGGUUUCUUCUAGAGUUCCUCCAAGAGUUUCUUGAAUGUAUCCAGGAGUUCCUUCAGGAAUUCCUACAGGAGUUCCUCCAUGUGUUCUUUGAGCAUUUUUUUACUAUCGUAAAAUUGGGCCGAAGGGUUUCAGAUUUUCAUGAAAAUUUUUCCACAGGCUGGGCUCAUGAAUAUAUGAACAAAAAAAAUUGAGAAAAAUUCAGGGUCGCCUAUUUACCCGGAAAACUCAGGUGGAAAUUCUUUGUUUUCCCCUGACACUACUUACUUUGAAAAAUCACAACUCAAGAACGAUGCAUCAUAGAAACAAAGUAUUUUUUUAGAAAAUAAAAGCAAAUUUUCUCAGAAAUCCAAAAACCUAUAAAGUGGAAAAAGUUUUCCACAAAAUUUUCCACAGUUGAGAAAACUCGUAAAGAAGAACCGAAAAAACAAUACCCAAACUCGCGGAAAAUUUUCAAUAAAAAAAUUUCUGGGAAGUUUUUUUCAUAAGCUUUAAUCGCUGAAAUUUUUGGAAUGCACUUUUUUCGGUAUGGUUAAGGCUCAAGCAUUCGUCAUCAUAUUUUGGUAAUAGAAAAGCAGUUUUUUCGUUGUAAAUCAAAACAAUGACCACGAAAAUGUAUUCAUUGCAUUACAUUCCUCAUGUGAAACGCAGUGAAUCCAUUUUCGCUGCCAGAAUGUUUGAUUUGAACGAAAAAACUGCUUUCAAAUGUUUGAUGAUGACGAUGAUUUCAAUGACGAAUGGUUCAACGUUAAUUUUGUUGAAAAAUGUCCAAAUGUAUCAUAUAUAAGCCUUUUCUUUGAAAAAUCAUAACUCAAGAAUGAAGCAUCAUAGAAACAAAGUUUUUUAAUGAAAAUGAAAGCAAAUUUUCUCAGGAAUAAAAAAAAUAUGAAGUAAAAAAGUUUUCCACAACAUUUUCUACCGUUGAGAAAAUUCAAAAAGAAAAGCCGGAAAAAGUAUUCCCGAACCCGCGGAAAUUUUUUUUUUUCAUAAGCUCAGCGAUCAAAAUUUUUGGAAUGAACUUUUUUUUUUCUUUCUCAAGUUAUGGUAAAUUUUGUGAAAAAUAACCAUAUGGUAAUUUUUCACAUAAUAAGAUCCUAAAAUGAAAAAUAUUAUUUCGGUUUUGCUGCAUAACAGGAAGGAGCAUGCUUUUCUGAUCUCAAUGGUAUUUUUCCCGAACUUAAACAGUGACAGAAUAGUCAAUAGACUCGAAAGUAAAAUAAUGAUGAGCAGGUCUUGUUUGACAUUGAGUGCUAAACAAGGAGUGUUGCAAAAAAUUUAAAAUUUUUUGAAAAUAUAUUUUAUGGGCUUUACCUAAUAGAAAUACUUAAAAAAUGAGUAAACAUGUCGUUUUAAUCAAUGCUUGAUCUACUUAUGCAAAAAUUGAGAUAGGCUUUUAGGAGCCUAUUGGCCAUAACUCAAGAACGAAAACCAAGUGCAUUCCGAAAAUUUCAGCCUUGAUUUCAGCUUAUGAAAAUACCUUCUCAAAAAUAUUUUUUUUGAAAAUUUCCCGCGAUGUUCGGACAUAUUUUUUUCGGCUUUUCUUUAUGAAUUUCCUCAACGGUGGAAAAUUUCGUGGAAACCUUUUUCCUUUUUAUAUAUUUUUUUGAUUCCUGAGAAAAUUUGCUUUCAUUUUCUAAAAAAAAACUUUGUUUCUACGAUGCUUCGUUCUUGAGUUAUGAUUUUUCAAAGAAAAGGCUUAUAUGAUACAUUUGGACAUUUUUGAACAAAAUUGGCCAUAAUUCAAAAACGAUAAAAAAGUGCAUUCCAAAAAUAUCAGCGAUUAAAGUUUAUGGAAUAACCUUCUCAAUUUUUUUUAAAUAUUUUUUUACGAGUUCGGGUCGGGCAUUGUUUUUCCGGAUUUUCUUUACAAAUUUUCUCAACUGUGGAAAAUUUUGUGGAAAACUUUUUCCAGUUCAUAUUUUUUUGGACUUCUGAGAAAAUUUAUUUUCAUUUUCUACAAAAAAAACUGAUUCAAUGAUCUAUGAUGCUUCGUUCUUGAGUUAUGACUUUUCAAAGUAAGUAGUGUCAGGGGAAAACAACGAAUUUCCACCUGAGUUUUCCGGGAAAAUUGGCGACCCUGAAUUUUUCUGAUUUUUUUUGUUCAUAUAUCUAUGAGCCCUGCCUGUGGAAAAAGUUUCAUGAAAAUCUGGGACCCUUCGGCCCAAUCCCGUACGGUAAUAAAAAAAAUGCGCCUUUGUUUUAAGGAUAUCUUCAGAAGUUGCAUCAGAAAUCCUCCCACGAGUUCCUUCUCGGAUUCCUCCAGGAGACCUUUCUGGGAUUCCUCCAGGAGACCUUUCUGGGAUUCCUCCAGGAGACCCUUCUGGAAUUUACCCAAGAGUUCCUUCAGAGAUUACUUCAGGGGUUUCUACAAGGUUUAAUCCAGUAGUUCCUUCAGAGAUUUAUCAAGGAGUUCCUUGGAGGAGAUCCUUGCAGGAGUCCCUUCAUGGAAUUCCUGCAAUGAUUCCUCCUGGAGUUCCUUCAGGGAUUCCUCCAGAAGUCCCAUAAGGGAUCUUCAGGAAUUCUUCUAGGAGUUCUUUUGUGUAUUUCUUCAGGAGUUCCUUCAGGAACUUCUUCUGGAGUUCUUUCAGGGAUUCCUUCAGUAGUUCUUUUAGCGAUUCCUUCUAGAUUUCCUACAGGGCUCCCCCGCAUGUCCGGAGUGUGCAGACUGCGACGAGACCGCGGAGCAUGUGCUCUUCGAAUGUCCACGUUUCGUGGAGCAAAGGUCGAGUAUGCAGGAGGUAUGCGGUAGAGAUAUCACGCCUGACAACAUUGUUGAAAGGAUGUGUAUGGGGGCGGACAAGUGGGACUCCGUUACUUCCACGGUUUCUCGAAUCGUACUUGAACUACAGAGUAAAUGGCGAGCCGAACAACAGCUUGUUGAGUUGGCCCCCCUUCCCCAUCCAGGAGCUUGAGUUCAAUGGGUAGUCUAAGUACUAGCCAGGACCCGAGCCUCCAGGGGAGAGUGAACAACUUAAGGCGGUAGCUGGUGGAACGCUUACUAUUAGAGUGUACUCAUGUACGGUCCCCCCUUCUCGAAGUCAUCCCUAACGGGCGUACCGCGAAGGUAAGGAAGAGAGAGAAUGAGUUUUUAGUGGGUCGAUCCCCACAUCACCCGAGGAACCAGGGCUUCGUCAAGGAGUCCUUUUUAAAAUUCCUUCAGGAGUUCCAUCAGGGGUUCCUCCUGGAUUUCAUGAAUGGAUUUUUGCAAAAAAUGAUAACGAUUUCGUCCAGGAGUACAUUCAUUCUUGCAUGGAUUCCUUCAGGAGUUUGUUGUUUCUCCAGAGAUUCCUUAAUGAGGUUUAAUCCAGUUUAUUUCAGUAUUUCCUUCAAGGAUUCCUUCAGAAGCUGCUUAAUUGCUUAUUAAAAGAGUUCCUUUAGAAAUUUUUCAAGGAGUUCAAUUAGGGAUCCUUCUAAGAGUUUCCUUCUGGGGUUCCACCAGGUAUUUCUGCAAGGGUUUAUUCAGGGAUUCCUUCAGGGAUUCGUCCAGGAUUUCCUUUAGAAAUUUCAUCAAGGAUCCUUCCAGAAUGUCCGCUGUGCUUCGUCAAGCGCUCACCAGGUGGUAGUAAACAAACUUCAAACAGGACUAACAACGAUACGAACGCUGUGAUUGCGCCAUAGACAAACUAGAGGGCUUGAAUUAGCCAUUAAUGGCUAGAUUCCACUUUGAGAGUACUGUUCAGAAAGAUAAGGCAAGCAAUGGUCAAGUGAUGAUUCCAUGAUGACAGUUCGUUUGGCUACAGUUGUCUUCGCUCCCGCGAGUCUAUGGUAUCUAUAGCGUCUAUAAUCCCAACAGAUUGUUUGUAUUUUUCAUUUAUAUUGUUAAUCGUUGGAAAAACGGGUCUCGUUCCAAUGUUUACCAUUUUUUUCAAUUUCUUACAAUUUCUUUUAGAAAUCAUGGAUGUUCAAUAUUUAUUUUUCCAGUUAUCAAUUUACUCACAUGGCGAACACUAUCAUUGACAUCCCCAUCCUGGCCACCUUCAGCGUUGGACUGGUUCGACAGAAUCCUUAUAUAACUGUUAUAAUUAUAAAUGUUUAUAAGUAAUAAAAAGAAUCGUGGGGUGGGGGUGCUCUGUUGUACUUAAAACAAAAAUCCGAAAAAUCAAAGGUAGGUUCACCACAGUUCGUAAGUGAUUCAUGCAUGUUUACUUUUUAAAUAAUGUUUUCUCCCACAACUUUGAAAUAAAUUAUAAGUGGUUCUUGCGUUUAAUUACAAAUAAUCAAAACUGGUUCACCAAGUUCUCCAAAGUCGCAAAGUGACGCAUUAUAACUUCUUUAAACUAUUUAUUUUUCCAAAAACUAUAAGUAGAUCAUGUUUAAGUCAUUCUUGCGUUUAAUCACAAUCAAAUCUGGUUCACCAAGUUCUCCCAAGUCGCGAGGUGACGCAUUACUACUUCUGUAAUCAAAUUAUGUUUCCAAAAACAUUGAAGUAGAUUAUAAGAGGUUCUUGCGCUUAAUCACAACCAAUCAAAUCUGGUUCACCAAAUUCUCCCAAGUCGCAUGGUGACGCAUUACUACUUCUCUAAACAAAUUAUUUUUCCUAAAACUUUGAACUAGAUUACAUUUAAGUGAUACUUGCGUUGAAUCACAAAUAAUCAAAUCUGGUUCACCAAGUUCUCCUAAGUCGCAUGGUGACGCACUAUUUACUAUUUAAUCUAAUUAGUUUUCCAAAAACUUUAAAGUAGAUCAUGUUUAAGUCAUUCUUGCGUUUAAUCACAAUCAAAUCUGGUUCAUCAAGUUCUCCCAAGUCGCAUGGUGACGAACUACUUACUACUUAAUCAAAUUAUCUUUUCAAAAACUUUAAAGUAGAUCAUGUUUAAGUCAUUCUUGCGUAUAAUCACAAUCAAACCUGGUUCACCAAGUUCUCCCAAGUCGCAUGGUGACGCACUACCUACUAUUUAAUCAAAUGAUUUUUCUUAAAACUUCAAAGUAGAUCAUGUUUAAGUCAUUCUUGCGUUUAAUAACAAUCAAAUC
Long non-coding RNA from Aedes albopictus (Asian tiger mosquito), 8450 nucleotides. RefSeq lists it as uncharacterized. The transcript is spliced from 3 exons. NCBI's taxonomy places the organism in Eukaryota, Metazoa, Arthropoda, Insecta, Diptera, Culicidae. The record is from RefSeq and is a predicted model, not a curated record.